Molecule: unclassified non-coding RNA, 2632 nt
Filed under: Haliotis rubra (blacklip abalone)
Lineage: Eukaryota; Metazoa; Mollusca; Gastropoda; Lepetellida; Haliotidae
Description: minichromosome maintenance domain-containing protein 2-like, transcript variant X2
Source: RNAcentral
ACGUCCGUCUGCUGUGUUUUCCAGUGGGUUGCGGGCGUGGCUUAGCUGCUCACAGUCAUCGUAUUUAGGUCGUAGGCAUUUUUCAAAUUCUGUCAUCUCUACAUGUCGAAUCAUUUCAUCGUCACAUGAUUCGAAUAGCCAAGGUUUUUGACAUCAGAAUGGAACAACACACUUGAGAAGCAUGAGCACCCAGUCCACAUGGAGGACCUCUGUGAUCGUUUCAGCCUAGUACAGUCAGCACUGGCCUACCUUGACAAUGCUGAUCAUCUCCAAUAUGUGAAAACAACUUGCUGUAAAUACAGCUCAGGAGAGGAACUGUUGGUGUAUCAUUUUAAACUUGAUGUGGACCCAGCGGAACUUACAGAAUUAAACGCUGCACUUGGAAAUUUUGUGCUUUUGAAACCGCUGAAGUCCACUGAGAUCUUUCAAGAAAUAGUGUUCCAGACUGCUCAGGAGUUGGAGCUUCUACCAAGUGAUACCACCUUGUCCCAGAUCUCGGUUGUGUUGAAACUGUCCAGCCUGCCAAGUCCACUAGAAGGUUGCAGAAUCAAGUGCAUGAAAGAUUUAUCCAGGAAUAUUGGCAGCUGUAACUAUGUCAAGUUUGAUGGGGUUGUCACUGGGAUUACAGGAAUUUCAAAAUAUACUCAAAGCACACGUUAUGUGUGUCCCCACCCUGCAUGCGAGGGAAAUGAAGGACACAAGUUCAUCCGGGUCCACAUUCCUGGAGCCUCAGAGACACAGACAAUAAGAAAUGACUUCAGAUGUAGUGCAUGUGGUUCAGUCUUAGAGGAAGACAAGAGUUCCCGGAUUAUAUCAGAUAAACUUUUAGCUGAGGUUGUUCAUGAAGCUUGCUUCCAAGAUGUCAUCAGUGUCAAGAGCAGGCAGCGAGUCCAAGCUGUUCCAGUAUAUGUCAGAGAUGAACUCUGUGAGAAGAUUCAGAUAGGAAAGAAGUACCAGAUAAUUGGCAUGGUGAGGAAAGACAUCACUGGUGAGGUGGUCAGCCUUGCCCUGGAGGCCAAUAACAUUAUACAGAUAUCACAUAUUCUCCACCCCCUGAUGCCAUCAUUUCUGCCUGAGAGUCUGUUGUGCUUGUACAGAGACAGGAGAGACUCACCCUGGAGCUUCAGCCUCAGUCUUGCCUACGUGUUUGGGGGAGAAGUUGCUCCACCUGGAUCAUACCUACAGCUGAAGCUUGGACUAAUGUUGAGUUUAGCAACUGUAUCAGAGGAGAAACCACUGCACAUACUUGGCAUUGGCAGUGAAGUGGAGGUGAUACAGAGACUCAUGGACUAUGGCCGCCAGUUCUGUGACAGGGGUGUGUGUCACAUGGCAGGCUGUCAUCUCUCUGGCAAAGUCAUCAGUGACAGGCAUGAGACCGCCCCAUACUUCAUAGAAGGUGGUUCCUUGUUGCUGGCAUCAGGAGGAGUGUGUUUCUUGGGGGAGCUGGGCAGGCUAAAGAGGAAGGUCCAGGAACAGCUGCAAGCAGUACUUGGCAGUGCUAAAGUGUACCUGGAGCUUGGUGCUAAACACACUGGUGGCCUCCCCCAGCGCACAGUUCAACCCCUCACAUGCCAGAUAUGGGGAUACUCAGACAACAAACCCAACAAAGGAAAUACAUCUGACGAUCUGUUCAGUCAUCAGGACACUGGAAUCAUUGCAAAACCAGUGCUGGAUGGCUUUGGGUGUGUCUGUUACGCUGAUGUUGAUGACAAAGUGACAAGAGAGGAGGUCGAUACCCUCGCAGCCUGCCAGAUUCUGGUACAGUCUAUGGAAUCUCAACAGCAGAAAAACAAACUACCUGUAUCAGCUGACGACUUCAGACAGUUUUUCCAGUACCUGAGCAGCUAUAGAACUAAGAUGACCAGUGAAGCCCUGCACUUGUUACAGACGUACUUCCAGGCCAGUAGGAAGACACGAGCUUGUUCAGACACUGGCACAGGCGUUCCCGUCACUGCCCUGGAAACACUUCUGAAAUCUGGAACAUGGAUGCUGUUGCUGCUGCAGAGGAACUAAGAUGUCUCCUCAUCUCUCACAACACAGCCACCCGACAACUUCAUUCUCUUGAUAAUGAGAUCAGUCGAUUGACCCAUAAGCUUGAAACACUCCCAACGGCAUGUCGUCUCCCACUGACCGAGCGUGUAACAGCCCUUGAAGGAGUACGUAGAAUGUUCUCUGUGUUCUGUUCACUCAAGUGGCAGGAAGUUCAGGCAUUUGUCGGUGAUAUCACUUCAUCACUGGACCAGCAACACAGUGACCUAGAGACUGAUGUCAGUUUUGAAGAAGAUGCGAGAGAUCUAGGCACAUGGACAUCUUGUGUUUCCCUCAGGGGACAGUGACCAUUCCAGCAUUGAGAUGGCUGAAUUAGCCUAUUUACAAAUUGACAGUGUUAACUCACAGUCUGUGUGUUCACAUCUGGAGUAGGCAAAUGAGAUGGUCAGUUGGUACUGCUCAGACAGACAAUAAUCUGGAAGUGGUUUAAAAAAACCAUGCAGACAUGGUCAGUAUUGGAAAAAAAUUACACAGUCGAUCGGCAACAUUGAAGGAUUCCGGCUGUGAAAUCAUUUGAGAAAUACUGAAGCUGUACAUGCUGAAAUUGUAAAUAUUAUUCAAUAGUGCUCUGGAACAAGUUGCA